RNAcentral lists this ribosomal RNA (501 nucleotides) under uncultured bacterium. RNAcentral's name for it is "partial 16S ribosomal RNA". It matches the Rfam family "Bacterial small subunit ribosomal RNA", at positions 30 to 523 of the family's 1533-position model. The record is from RNAcentral.
AUUGAACGCUGGCGGCAGGCUUAACACAUGCAAGUCGAGCGGGGGAAGGUAGCUUGCUACUGGACCUAGCGGCGGACGGGUGAGUAAUGCUUAGGAAUCUGCCUAUUAGUGGGGGACAACAUCUCGAAAGGGAUGCUAAUACCGCAUACGUCCUACGGGAGAGAGCAGGGGAGCUUCGGACCUUGCGCUAAUAGAUGAGCCUAAGUCGGAUUAGCUAGUUGGUGGGGUAAAGGCCUACCAAGGCGACGAUCUGUAGCGGGUCUGAGAGGAUGAUCCGCCACACUGGGACUGAGACACGGCCCAGACUCCUACGGGAGGCAGCAGUGGGGAAUAUUGGACAAUGGGGGGAACCCUGAUCCAGCCAUGCCGCGUGUGUGAAGAAGGCCUUAUGGUUGUAAAGCACUUUAAGCGAGGAGGAGGCUACUCUAGUUAAUACCUAGGGAUAGUGGACGUUACUCGCAGAAUAAGCACCGGCUAACUCUGUGCCAGCCGCCGCCGUAA